Molecule: ribosomal RNA, 253 nt
Filed under: uncultured bacterium
Lineage: Bacteria
Description: partial 16S ribosomal RNA
Rfam family: Bacterial small subunit ribosomal RNA
Source: RNAcentral
UACGUAGGAGGCCAGCGUUGUCCGGAAUUACUGGGCGUAAAGCGCGUGUAGGUGGUGGGACAAGUCUGCUGUGAAAGCGCCUGGCUUAACCGGGCGAGGUCGGCGGAAACUGUCCGACUAGAGGACGGUAGAGGGGGGUGGAAUUCCCGGUGUAGUGGUGAAAUGCGUAGAGAUCGGGAGGAACACCUGUGGCGAAGGCGGCCCCCUGGGCCGGCCCUGACACUGAGACGCGAAGGCGUGGGGAGCGAACGGG